Molecule: long non-coding RNA, 1971 nt
Filed under: Homo sapiens (human)
Lineage: Eukaryota; Metazoa; Chordata; Mammalia; Primates; Hominidae
Description: non-protein coding lnc-ORC2-2:1
Source: RNAcentral
AUAGUCUUUAAUAUUGUUUGUAUAAUUAUAAGCAGUUGUACUCAUUCUGGAAUAUAGACAUUAAAAUGGAUGUAUUUUUAACCUUUAGUUUUUUCAGCAACUUUUCAUACUCUCUUAAAUAUAGAUUUAUUACAUGACUUUUAAAAAAUGUUUUUAGUUUUAUAUUUUACAGGCAAUUUCCAAAAGAAGCUAUAGAAUUUAUAUAAUUGACAGUUGAAAGAUUCUGAACCUUUUCCGUGAAGAAUGAGAAGAAUAAAUGAUCCAAAACUGCCUUUUAUGGAAAAGAAAAUUAAAUAUUAUUACAUGAUACAGAUUUUUACUUCAUGGUAGAGACAUUGUCUCAUACUGUACCUUAUUUUUGUAGCCUUCAACAAUUGGAUCCAUGGCUUUGACAGAAGGGGCAUUGUGUCAGCAUGAUCUCAUCAGAGUUGUUUAUAGUGAUCUUCAUCCUCAGAGGGAAACAUUCACUGCACAGAACCGGUUUGAAGUCCUGAGUUUUCUCAUGCUGUGUUAUAAUUCUGCUAUUGUAUAUAUGCCUGCCUCAUCUUACCAAUCUCUUUGUCGGAUGGGUUCCAGGUGAGAAGAGUGAUUAUUACUAAUCUUCAUAUUUAUUUGAUAGAUAUUUAUUGAGCACAUUCUCUAAGCCAAGCACUGUUCUAACUUCUGGUAUUACAGCAGUAAACAAAACUCAUGGAGCUUGCAUUCCUGUAGGAGUCCUUAUCCUCAUGAGGCUGUUUUUGUUGUUGUUGUUGUUUUGGUUUUUUAUGAGAUAGGAUUUCUCUCUGUCGCCUAGGCUGGAGUACAGUGGCUCAAUCAUAGCUCACUGUGCCCUCAGCCUUCUUGGCUCAAGGGAUCCUCCCGCCUGGGCCUCCCAAGUAGCUGGGACCACAGGUGUACACCACGACUCUCAGCUAAUUUUUGUAGAGAAAGGGUCUUGCUAUGUUGCCCAGGUUUGUCUUGAAGUUCUGGCCUCAAGCAUUCUUGCCACAUCAGCCUUCCAAAGUGCUGCGAGUACAGGUGUGAGCCACCAUGCCUGGCCUCGUGCAUUCUUGAAAAUGUUUUCAGCAUUAAAGAAAUAUUUUCUAGCUGAACGUGGAGUUGUACCAAGACAUCCAAAUCUAGGGUUGUUUAGUGAUAUAUCUUAUUCCCUGGUUGCCAGUUUUUGUAAAUCACUUUGAGAUCUUUGAAAAAAAAUAGUGCUAUAUAUGGGGAAAGUCUUAAGGAAUAUGAACCUCUUCCCAUACAUUUCAUAAAUAACUGUCUCUGUGUUGGAGAAAGUGAUUAGCAAUAGUACCAAUGAUGUGUGUGUCUCAUUUGUAUGUAGGGGGUGGAUAUUCUGUAUCUCAUGGAUUAUAAUCUUUACUAAAUCAUAAUUUCUAAUAAUUUGGACAGACCUAGGCUUAAAUCUUGUUCUGUCACCCAGACUGGAGUGCAGUGGUGCCAUAUUGGCUCAUUCAACCUUUGCCUCUCAGGUUCAAGUGAUCUUCUCACCUCAGUCUCCUGAGUAGUUAGGACUACAGGUGCCCACCACCAUGCUGGGCUAUUUUUUUUUUUUAAAAGAGACCAGGUUUCACAAUGUUGCACAGGCAGGUCACAAACUCCUGGGAUUAAGUGAUCUGCCUGCCCUGGCCUUCCAAAGUGCUAGGAUUACAGGCAUGAGCCACCACACCUGGCGUUAAAUUUCUACCAUAGAAAAAAUGUAGGCCAGGGUCAGUGGCCCAUGCCUGUAAUCCCAGCAUGAUGGGAGGCCAAGGCCUGAGGUCAGGAGUUUGAGACCAGCCUGGCCAACGUGGUGAAACCCUGUCUCUAUACAAAAAUACAAAAAUUAGCUGGGUGGUAGCGCAUGCCUAUAAUCCCAGCUAUUUGAGAGGCUGAGGCAUGUGGAUCACUUGAACCUGGUAGGCAGGGUUGCAGUGAUCUGAGAUCACGCCACUGCACUCCAGCCUGGGCGACAGAGUGACACCUUGUCUC